Molecule: long non-coding RNA, 326 nt
Organism: Eubalaena glacialis (North Atlantic right whale)
Lineage: Eukaryota; Metazoa; Chordata; Mammalia; Artiodactyla; Balaenidae
Exons: 3
Source: RefSeq, a predicted model, not a curated record
AAGGCAGGGCACGCUGCCUCCCACCAGCUGGCCAGAGAGUGCCAUGUAGUCAGGAGCCAUCAUGGUGACAGGCAGCAGCCUUGAUGCAUGAAACCUACCUGAGACUGUUCUAGGUACUGAAGAGAUAGCUGUGAACAAAACAGACAAAAAUCCAUGCCCUCAUGGAGCGUCCAUGCUAGAAAGGAGAGAGAGACUCUAAUUAAUAAAUCCUGAAAACGAAAUGGAUGUUAACUAGAGGGACCAUCUUGGACCAAGCUCAGCAGGGAGUUCCCUCAGCAACUUGAAAGCCCUGACUGUGUGACAGCUUUGUCGGGAGGACUCACAUA